GUACUUACCUGGCAGGGGAGAUACCAUGAUCACGAACAUGGUUUUCACAGGGUAAGGCUCCAUUGCACUCCAGAUGUGCUGACCCCUGCAAUUUCCCCGACUGUGGGAAACCCGACUGCAUAAUUGUGGUAGUGGGGGCUGUAUUUGUGCUUUCCCCUG
Fukomys damarensis (Damara mole-rat) is the source of this 159-nucleotide small nuclear RNA. Its record names the gene U1. It matches the Rfam family "U1 spliceosomal RNA". Rfam says of the family: U1 is a small nuclear RNA (snRNA) component of the spliceosome (involved in pre-mRNA splicing). Its 5' end forms complementary base pairs with the 5' splice junction, thus defining the 5' donor site of an intron. The record is from Ensembl. Lineage: Eukaryota; Metazoa; Chordata; Mammalia; Rodentia; Bathyergidae.